UUAAGCGACUAAGCGUACACGGUGGAUGCCCUGGCAGUCAGAGGCGAUGAAGGGCGUGCUAAUCUGCGAUAAGCGCCGGUAAGGUGAUAUGAACCGUUAUAACCGGCGAUACCCGAAUGGGGAAACCCAGUGUGACUCGUCACACUAUCAUUAACUGAAUCCAUAGGUUAAUGAGGCGAACCGGGGGAACUGAAACAUCUAAGUACCCCGAGGAAAAGAAAUCAACCGAGAUUCCCCCAGUAGCGGCGAGCGAACGGGGAGGAGCCCAGAGCCUGAAUCAGCAUGUGUGUUAGUGGAAGCGUCUGGAAAGGCGCGCGAUACAGGGUGACAGCCCCGUACACAAAAGCGCAUGUGCUGUGAGCUCGAUGAGUAGGGCGGGACACGUGGUAUCCUGUCUGAAUAUGGGGGGACCAUCCUCCAAGGCUAAAUACUCCUGACUGACCGAUAGUGAACCAGUACCGUGAGGGAAAGGCGAAAAGAACCCCGGCGAGGGGAGUGAAAAAGAACCUGAAACCGUGUACGUACAAGCAGUGGGAGCACAGGUUUACCUGUGUGACUGCGUACCUUUUGUAUAAUGGGUCAGCGACUUAUAUUCUGUAGCAAGGUUAACCGAAUAGGGGAGCCGGAGGGAAACCGAGUCUUAAUUGGGCGUUAAGUUGCAGGGUAUAGACCCGAAACCCGGUGAUCUAGCCAUGGGCAGGUUGAAGGUUGGGUAACACUAACUGGAGGACCGAACCGACUAAUGUUGAAAAAUUAGCGGAUGACCUGUGGCUGGGGGUGAAAGGCCAAUCAAACCGGGAGAUAGCUGGUUCUCCCCGAAAGCUAUUUAGGUAGCGCCUCGUGAAUUCAUCUCCGGGGUAGAGCACUGUUUCGGCUAGGGGGCCAUCCCGGCUUACCAACCCGAUGCAAACUGCGAAUACCGGAGAAUGUUAUCACGGGAGACACACGGCGGGUGCUAACGUCCGUCGUGAAGAGGGAAACAACCCAGACCGCCAGCUAAGGUCCCAAAGUCAUGGUUAAGUGGGAAACGAUGUGGGAAGGCCCAGACAGCCAGGAUGUUGGCUUAGAAGCAGCCAUCAUUUAAAGAAAGCGUAAUAGCUCACUGGUCGAGUCGGCCUGCGCGGAAGAUGUAACGGGGCUAAACCAUGCACCGAAGCUGCGGCAGCGACGCUGAUGCGUUGUUGGGUAGGGGAGCGUUCUGUAAGCCUGCGAAGGUGGCCUGUGAGGGUUGCUGGAGGUAUCAGAAGUGCGAAUGCUGACAUAAGUAACGAUAAAGCGGGUGAAAAGCCCGCUCGCCGGAAGACCAAGGGUUCCUGUCCAACGUUAAUCGGGGCAGGGUGAGUCGACCCCUAAGGCGAGGCCGAAAGGCGUAGUCGAUGGGAAACGGGUUAAUAUUCCCGUACUUGGUGUUACUGCGAAGGGGGGACGGAGAAGGCUAUGUUGGCCGGGCGACGGUUGUCCCGGUUUAAGCGUGUAGGUGUGUGUUCCAGGUAAAUCCGGUUCACUUUAACACUGAGGCGUGAUGACGAGGCACUACGGUGCUGAAGCAACAAAUGCCCUGCUUCCAGGAAAAGCCUCUAAGCAUCAGGUAACAUCAAAUCGUACCCCAAACCGACACAGGUGGUCAGGUAGAGAAUACCAAGGCGCUUGAGAGAACUCGGGUGAAGGAACUAGGCAAAAUGGUGCCGUAACUUCGGGAGAAGGCACGCUGACACGUAGGUGAAGUGAUUUACUCAUGGAGCUGAAGUCAGUCGAAGAUACCAGCUGGCUGCAACUGUUUAUUAAAAACACAGCACUGUGCAAACACGAAAGUGGACGUAUACGGUGUGACGCCUGCCCGGUGCCGGAAGGUUAAUUGAUGGGGUCAGCGCAAGCGAAGCUCCUGAUCGAAGCCCCGGUAAACGGCGGCCGUAACUAUAACGGUCCUAAGGUAGCGAAAUUCCUUGUCGGGUAAGUUCCGACCUGCACGAAUGGCGUAAUGAUGGCCAGGCUGUCUCCACCCGAGACUCAGUGAAAUUGAACUCGCUGUGAAGAUGCAGUGUACCCGCGGCAAGACGGAAAGACCCCGUGAACCUUUACUAUAGCUUGACACUGAACAUUGAGCCUUGAUGUGUAGGAUAGGUGGGAGGCUUUGAAGUGUGGACGCCAGUCUGCAUGGAGCCGACCUUGAAAUACCACCCUUUAAUGUUUGAUGUUCUAACGUGGACCCGUAAUCCGGGUUGCGGACAGUGUCUGGUGGGUAGUUUGACUGGGGCGGUCUCCUCCUAAAGAGUAACGGAGGAGCACGAAGGUUGGCUAAUCCUGGUCGGACAUCAGGAGGUUAGUGCAAUGGCAUAAGCCAGCUUGACUGCGAGCGUGACGGCGCGAGCAGGUGCGAAAGCAGGUCAUAGUGAUCCGGUGGUUCUGAAUGGAAGGGCCAUCGCUCAACGGAUAAAAGGUACUCCGGGGAUAACAGGCUGAUACCGCCCAAGAGUUCAUAUCGACGGCGGUGUUUGGCACCUCGAUGUCGGCUCAUCACAUCCUGGGGCUGAAGUAGGUCCCAAGGGUAUGGCUGUUCGCCAUUUAAAGUGGUACGCGAGCUGGGUUUAGAACGUCGUGAGACAGUUCGGUCCCUAUCUGCCGUGGGCGCUGGAGAACUGAGGGGGGGCUGCUCCUAGUACGAGAGGACCGGAGUGGACGCAUCACUGGUGUUCGGGUUGUCAUGCCAAUGGCACUGCCCGGUAGCUAAAUGCGGAAGAGAUAAGUGCUGAAAGCAUCUAAGCACGAAACUUGCCCCGAGAUGAGUUCUCCCUGAGACUUAGAGUCUCCUGAAGGAACGUUGAAGACGACGACGUUGAUAGGCCGGGUGUGUAAGCGCAGCGAUGCGUUGAGCUAACCGGUACUAAUGAACCGUGAGGCUUAACCUU
RNAcentral lists this ribosomal RNA (2906 nucleotides) under Salmonella enterica subsp. enterica. RNAcentral's name for it is "23S ribosomal RNA". It matches the Rfam family "Bacterial large subunit ribosomal RNA". The record is from RNAcentral. Lineage: Bacteria; Pseudomonadati; Pseudomonadota; Gammaproteobacteria; Enterobacterales; Enterobacteriaceae.